RNAcentral lists this ribosomal RNA (447 nucleotides) under uncultured bacterium. Its description in RNAcentral is "bacterial SSU rRNA". It matches the Rfam family "Bacterial small subunit ribosomal RNA", at positions 330 to 794 of the family's 1533-position model. The record is from RNAcentral.
UCCAGACUCCUACGGGAGGCAGCAGUGGGGAAUAUUGGACAAUGGGGGGAACCCUGAUCCAGCGACGCCGCGUGAGUGAAGAAGUAUUUCGGUAUGUAAAGCUCUAUCAGCAGGGAAGAAAAUGACGGUACCUGACUAAGAAGCCCCGGCUAACUACGUGCCAGCAGCCGCGGUAAUACGUAGGGGGCAAGCGUUAUCCGGAUUUACUGGGUGUAAAGGGAGCGUAGACGGUGCAGCAAGUCUGAUGUGAAAGGUCGGGGCCCAACCCCGGGACUGCAUUGGAAACUGUUGAACUGGAGUGCAGGAGAGGUAAGCGGAAUUCCUAGUGUAGCGGUGAAAUGCGUAGAUAUUAGGAGGAACACCAGUGGCGAAGGCGGCUUACUGGACUGUAACUGACGUUGAGGCUCGAAAGCGUGGGGAGCAAACAGGAUUAGAUACCCUGGUACU